CGCGGUAAUUCCAGCUCCAAUAGCGUAUACUAAAGUGUUGCAGUUAAAAAGCUCGUAGUUGGAUUUCUGGCGGGGACGGCUGGUCGGUCUCGAAAGGGGCUGUACUGUUGUUGGUUCCCGUCAUCCUUGGGGAGAGCGGCUCUUACAUUAAGUUGUCGGCGUCGGGAUCCCUAUCUUUUGCUGUGAAAAAAUUAGAGUGUUCAAAGCAGGCUUAGGCCCUGAAUACAUUAGCAUGGAAUAAUAAGAUACGACCUUGGUGGUCUAUUUUGUUGGUUUGCACGCCAAGGUAAUGAUUAAUAGGGAUAGUUGGGGGUAUUCGAAUUCAAUUGUCAGAGGUGAAAUUCUUGGAUUUAUGGAAGACGAACUACUGCGAAAGCAUUUACCAAGGAUGUUUUCAUUAAUCAAGAACGAAAGUUAGGGGAUCGAAGAUGAUUAGAUACCAUCGUAGUCUUAACCAUAAACUAUGCCGACUAGGGAUCGGUGGGUGCAUUUUUAGGCCUCAUCGGCACCUUAUGAGAAAUCAAAGUCUUUGGGUUCCGGGGGGAGUAUGGUCGCAAGGCUGAAACUUAAAGAAAUUGACGG
This 582-nucleotide ribosomal RNA is filed under the name uncultured Eustigmatophyceae. RNAcentral's name for it is "SSU rRNA". It matches the Rfam family "Eukaryotic small subunit ribosomal RNA", at positions 575 to 1159 of the family's 1831-position model. Lineage: Eukaryota; Eustigmatophyceae. The record is from RNAcentral.